RNAcentral lists this non-coding RNA (31 nucleotides) under Mus musculus (house mouse). The record is from RNAcentral. Lineage: Eukaryota; Metazoa; Chordata; Mammalia; Rodentia; Muridae.
UUGGAUUCAGGUCUCUGAGCUCAAUGCCCUA